GAAACAUCUUCGGGUUGUGAGGUUAAGCGACUAAGCGUACACGGUGGAUGCCCUGGCAGUCAGAGGCGAUGAAGGACGUGCUAAUCUGCGAUAAGCGUCGGUAAGGUGAUAUGAACCGUUAUAACCGGCGAUUUCCGAAUGGGGAAACCCAGUGUGAUUCGUCACACUAUCAUUAACUGAAUCCAUAGGUUAAUGAGGCGAACCGGGGGAACUGAAACAUCUAAGUACCCCGAGGAAAAGAAAUCAACCGAGAUUCCCCCAGUAGCGGCGAGCGAACGGGGAGCAGCCCAGAGCCUGAAUCAGUGUGUGUGUUAGUGGAAGCGUCUGGAAAGGCGCGCGAUACAGGGUGACAGCCCCGUACACAAAAAUGCACAUACUGUGAGCUCGAUGAGUAGGGCGGGACACGUGGUAUCCUGUCUGAAUAUGGGGGGACCAUCCUCCAAGGCUAAAUACUCCUGACUGACCGAUAGUGAACCAGUACCGUGAGGGAAAGGCGAAAAGAACCCCGGCGAGGGGAGUGAAAAAGAACCUGAAACCGUGUACGUACAAGCAGUGGGAGCCUCUUUAUGGGGUGACUGCGUACCUUUUGUAUAAUGGGUCAGCGACUUAUAUUCUGUAGCAAGGUUAACCGAAUAGGGGAGCCGAAGGGAAACCGAGUCUUAACUGGGCGUUAAGUUGCAGGGUAUAGACCCGAAACCCGGUGAUCUAGCCAUGGGCAGGUUGAAGGUUGGGUAACACUAACUGGAGGACCGAACCGACUAAUGUUGAAAAAUUAGCGGAUGACUUGUGGCUGGGGGUGAAAGGCCAAUCAAACCGGGAGAUAGCUGGUUCUCCCCGAAAGCUAUUUAGGUAGCGCCUCGUGAAUUCAUCUCCGGGGGUAGAGCACUGUUUCGGCAAGGGGGUCAUCCCGACUUACCAACCCGAUGCAAACUGCGAAUACCGGAGAAUGUUAUCACGGGAGACACACGGCGGGUGCUAACGUCCGUCGUGAAGAGGGAAACAACCCAGACCGCCAGCUAAGGUCCCAAAGUCAUGGUUAAGUGGGAAACGAUGUGGGAAGGCCCAGACAGCCAGGAUGUUGGCUUAGAAGCAGCCAUCAUUUAAAGAAAGCGUAAUAGCUCACUGGUCGAGUCGGCCUGCGCGGAAGAUGUAACGGGGCUAAACCAUGCACCGAAGCUGCGGCAGCGACACUAUGUGUUGUUGGGUAGGGGAGCGUUCUGUAAGCCUGUGAAGGUGUGCUGUGAGGUAUGCUGGAGGUAUCAGAAGUGCGAAUGCUGACAUAAGUAACGAUAAAGCGGGUGAAAAGCCCGCUCGCCGGAAGACCAAGGGUUCCUGUCCAACGUUAAUCGGGGCAGGGUGAGUCGACCCCUAAGGCGAGGCCGAAAGGCGUAGUCGAUGGGAAACAGGUUAAUAUUCCUGUACUUGGUGUUACUGCGAAGGGGGACGGAGAAGGCUAUGUUGGCCGGGCGACGGUUGUCCCGGUUUAAGCGUGUAGGCUGGUUUUCCAGGCAAAUCCGGAAAAUCAAGGCUGAGGCGUGAUGACGAGGCACUACGGUGCUGAAGCAACAAAUGCCCUGCUUCCAGGAAAAGCCUCUAAGCAUCAGGUAACAUCAAAUCGUACCCCAAACCGACACAGGUGGUCAGGUAGAGAAUACCAAGGCGCUUGAGAGAACUCGGGUGAAGGAACUAGGCAAAAUGGUGCCGUAACUUCGGGAGAAGGCACGCUGAUAUGUAGGUGAAGUCCCUUGCGGAUGGAGCUGAAAUCAGUCGAAGAUACCAGCUGGCUGCAACUGUUUAUUAAAAACACAGCACUGUGCAAACACGAAAGUGGACGUAUACGGUGUGACGCCUGCCCGGUGCCGGAAGGUUAAUUGAUGGGGUUAGCGGUAACGCGAAGCUCUUGAUCGAAGCCCCGGUAAACGGCGGCCGUAACUAUAACGGUCCUAAGGUAGCGAAAUUCCUUGUCGGGUAAGUUCCGACCUGCACGAAUGGCGUAAUGAUGGCCAGGCUGUCUCCACCCGAGACUCAGUGAAAUUGAACUCGCUGUGAAGAUGCAGUGUACCCGCGGCAAGACGGAAAGACCCCGUGAACCUUUACUAUAGCUUGACACUGAACAUUGAGCCUUGAUGUGUAGGAUAGGUGGGAGGCUUUGAAGUGUGGACGCCAGUCUGCAUGGAGCCGACCUUGAAAUACCACCCUUUAAUGUUUGAUGUUCUAACGUUGGCCCCUAAUCGGGGUUGCGGACAGUGUCUGGUGGGUAGUUUGACUGGGGCGGUCUCCUCCUAAAGAGUAACGGAGGAGCACGAAGGUUGGCUAAUCCUGGUCGGACAUCAGGAGGUUAGUGCAAUGGCAUAAGCCAGCUUAACUGCGAGCGUGACGGCGCGAGCAGGUGCGAAAGCAGGUCAUAGUGAUCCGGUGGUUCUGAAUGGAAGGGCCAUCGCUCAACGGAUAAAAGGUACUCCGGGGAUAACAGGCUGAUACCGCCCAAGAGUUCAUAUCGACGGCGGUGUUUGGCACCUCGAUGUCGGCUCAUCACAUCCUGGGGCUGAAGUAGGUCCCAAGGGUAUGGCUGUUCGCCAUUUAAAGUGGUACGCGAGCUGGGUUUAGAACGUCGUGAGACAGUUCGGUCCCUAUCUGCCGUGGGCGCUGGAGAACUGAGGGGGGCUGCUCCUAGUACGAGAGGACCGGAGUGGACGCAUCACUGGUGUUCGGGUUGUCAUGCCAAUGGCACUGCCCGGUAGCUAAAUGCGGAAGAGAUAAGUACUGAAAGCAUCUAAGCACGAAACUUGCCCCGAGAUGAGUUCUCCCUGACCCUUUAAGGGUCCUGAAGGAACGUUGAAGACGACGACGUUGAUAGGCCGGGUGUGUAAGCGCAGCGAUGCGUUGAGCUAACCGGUACUAAUGAACCGUGAGGCUUAACCUU
Molecule: ribosomal RNA, 2923 nt
Filed under: Escherichia coli 97.0259
Lineage: Bacteria; Pseudomonadati; Pseudomonadota; Gammaproteobacteria; Enterobacterales; Enterobacteriaceae
Description: bacterial LSU rRNA
Rfam family: Bacterial large subunit ribosomal RNA
Source: RNAcentral